CAGUAGCCGCGGGAAUACAGAGGGUGCAAGCGUUAAUCGGAAUUACUGGGCGUAAAGCGCGCGUAGGUGGUUUGUUAAGUUGGAUGUGAAAUCCCCGGGCUCAACCUGGGAACUGCAUCCAAAACUGGCAGGCUAGAGUAGGGCAGAGGGUGGUGGAAUUUCCUGUGUAGCGGUGAAAUGCGUAGAUAUAGGAAGGAACACCAGUGGCGAAGGCGACCACCUGGGCUCAUACUGACACUGAGGUGCGAAAGCGUGGGGAGCAAACAGGAUUAGAUACCCCGGUAGUCCCUGUCUCUUAUAC
Molecule: ribosomal RNA, 301 nt
Filed under: uncultured bacterium
Lineage: Bacteria
Description: partial 16S ribosomal RNA
Rfam family: Bacterial small subunit ribosomal RNA
Source: RNAcentral